Molecule: ribosomal RNA, 484 nt
Filed under: uncultured bacterium
Lineage: Bacteria
Description: partial 16S ribosomal RNA
Rfam family: Bacterial small subunit ribosomal RNA
Source: RNAcentral
AUUGAACGCUGGCGGCAGGCCUAACACAUGCAAGUCGAGCGGAUGAAGGGAGCUUGCUCCUGGAUUCAGCGGCGGACGGGUGAGUAAUGCCUAGGAAUCUGCCUGGUAGUGGGGGAUAACGUCCGGAAACGGGCGCUAAUACCGCAUACGUCCUGAGGGAGAAAGUGGGGGAUCUUCGGACCUCACGCUAUCAGAUGAGCCUAGGUCGGAUUAGCUCGUUGGUGGGGUAAAGGCCUACCAAGGCGACGAUCCGUAACUGGUCUGAGAGGGUGAUCAGUCACACUGGAACUGAGACACGGUCCAGACUCUUCUGGGAGGCAGAAGUGGGGAAUAUUUGACACUAGGCGAAAGCCUGAGCCAGCGACGCCGCGCGUGUGAAGAAGGUCUCCGGAUAGUAAAGCACUUUAAGUUGGGAGGAAGGGCAGUAAGUUAAUACCUUGCUGUUUUGACGUUACCAACAGAAUAAGCACCGGCUAACUUCGUG